CCUACGGGGGGCAGCAGUGGGGAAUAUUGCACAAUGGGGGGAACCCUGAUGCAGCGACGCCGCGUGGGUGAAGAAGUAUUUCGGUAUGUAAAGCCCUAUCAGCAGGGAAGAAAAAUGACGGUACCUUACUAAGAAGCACCGGCUAAAUACGUGACAGCAGCCGCGGUAAUACGGAUGGUGCAAGCGUUAUCCGGAUUUACUGGGUGUAACGGGAGCGCAGGCGGCAAGCUAAGCCUGAUGUGAAAACCCGCGGCCCAACCGCGGGAGUGCAUUUGGAACUGGCGGGCUGGAGUACCGGAGGGGGAGGCGGAAUGCCUGGUGUAGCGGUGAAAUGCGGAGAGAUUAGGAGGAACACCAGUGGCGAAGGCGGCCUGCUGGACGGAGACUGACGCUGAGGCUCGAAAGCGUGGGGAGCAAACAGGAUUAGAUACCCCUGUAGUC
RNAcentral lists this ribosomal RNA (441 nucleotides) under uncultured bacterium. Its description in RNAcentral is "partial 16S ribosomal RNA". It matches the Rfam family "Bacterial small subunit ribosomal RNA", at positions 338 to 795 of the family's 1533-position model. The record is from RNAcentral.